This 441-nucleotide ribosomal RNA is filed under the name uncultured bacterium. RNAcentral's name for it is "partial 16S ribosomal RNA". It matches the Rfam family "Bacterial small subunit ribosomal RNA", at positions 338 to 795 of the family's 1533-position model. The record is from RNAcentral.
CCUACGGGUGGCAGCAGUGGGGAAUAUUGCACAAUGGGGGCAACCCUGAUGCAGCGACGCCGCGUGGGUGAAGGAGUCUUUCUGUGUGUAAAGCCCUAUCAGCAGGGAAGAACAAUGCCGUUACCUGACUACGACGCACCGGCUAAAUACGUGCCAGCAGCCGCGGUAAUACGUAUGGUGCAAGCGUUAUCCGGAUUUACUGGGUGUACAGGGAGCGCAGGCGGCGCGUUAAGCCUGGUGUGAAAGCCCGCGGCCCAACCGCGGGACUGCAUUGGGAACUGGCGCGCUGGAGUGCAGGAGGGGUAGGCGGAAUUUAUAGUGUAGCGGUGAAAUGCGUAGAGAUUAGGAUGAACACCAGUGGCGAAGGCGGCUUACUGGACGGUGACUGACGCUGAGGCUCGAAAGCGUGGGGAGCAAACAGGAUUAGAUACCCCAGUAGUC